Molecule: non-coding RNA, 419 nt
Organism: Sturnus vulgaris (Common starling)
Lineage: Eukaryota; Metazoa; Chordata; Aves; Passeriformes; Sturnidae
Source: RefSeq, a predicted model, not a curated record
GCCCCAGUAAGCCUGUCCCACCACCGCGACCUUGGCUUGCCGGAAUGUGCCUGCUGCCAGCAGCAUUCAUGGCAGGGGACACAACGCUGGCAGCCGUCCCCGCAGCCAGCAGCAGGGCUGGCCUCAUUGCUCUGCUGCCCGUGGGGAUGGGGAGUGCGGUGGCUGGCAGCCCCCAGCCUGCUCCCAGGGAUGCUCCUCGUCCCACAGGUGGACUGCUACCACUCAGUGAAGGACACCAUCUACAGCUACGGGGCCCUGACCCUCGAUGGGGAGGAGUACAUCCCCUUUGAGAGGUACAGGGGGAAGACAGUGCUCUUUGUCAACGUAGCCACAUACUGAGGCCUGACGCUGCAGUAUGUUGAACUGAAUGCACUACAAGAUGAGCUGAGAAACCAGGGGGUCGUGGUCCUUGGCUUCCC